Molecule: long non-coding RNA, 2443 nt
Organism: Herpailurus yagouaroundi (jaguarundi)
Lineage: Eukaryota; Metazoa; Chordata; Mammalia; Carnivora; Felidae
Exons: 2
Source: RefSeq, a predicted model, not a curated record
GGAGCUGAUGCAAGGAAAUCACUAUAAUUGAUGACCAGACACAGAGUUACCUACCAAAUGUCUGGUCCCUAGAACUACUCCUCUGAAAUAAUUUAUCAAAAGUUGGAUUUCCGUUUUCAAAGUUAUUAACAAUAACAAGAGUCUGUUUCUGAUUUUUAACAUGAGGUUUUAUCAUUCGAGCCCUUCUUUUCAAUAAAAUCUCUCUAUACACUGGGAUCUCCAUUAAUAAACUCCUUUCGGUUUGCCGCAUUUUAAUGAGGGUGAACAGAAAGUAAACCGAAAAGAACCUUAACUUCCCACACGAAAUGGGCAGAAAUGAGUGUGCCGAAGAUUUACACGAGGCUCCGUACGCAACGGGUGCCAGGAAAUUAACAGGGCACGUGCGUCCGUGUGGUGGCGGCGGGGGACGGUGGCACCAACACCUCCCCGCGGACUGCACGAGCUCCCCAGGCGGUUCUGCUGCGGUUCGGGAUCGGACUGGAGCACGUAACUGGACGUUAGCUCGUAACAAUGAGACCCUGGUUCAAUUUGAGAACGCACACCCUCCUUCCAUAUUAAUUUUUCUCUUUCGCAAACCUACUUCCAUCUUUUAUUUUCCUUUUACGUUGUGCACUGCUCACAACCACAUGAGCGACGAACGUGGAGGGGACCCAUCCAAGUUAUUUACUCCGCGAGCCUCCUCCCGCGGCAAAUAGGCAACAAUGCCGCGGAAGUCGGAGGGUGGACCACCCUCUUCCCAUAACUUUUGGACAGCCGGUUUUCCAUCAAAAUUCAAUUAUCGCUAAGGAGAAACCAGGGUUUGUAGUGAAACGAUUUAGAACGGUUUACUUCUUUGCCAUAAAAUGGAUGAUCGACCUUCGGGAAACCCAGACCGCCCCCGUCCCGAGGGAGGCAGCGUGGCUCUGGCACCGUGGGAUCGACCCCUCGAGACGGAAACCACGUUCCCAUAAAGAAACUUGAGCCACCAAAGGGAUUAGAUGACAUGAUCGGAAAUACAUGAGAAAUACUUUCUGCAUUUUCCGCUAUCGGGAUUAAGGAAUUGGGGGGGGGGGAGGGGGCGGGAAAUCAGGACGCUUCUGUCUUCCCAAACCCGAAUGCCACACCCGGCCGCUCCCAGUUCCAUCCACUCUCGCACAUGGUGUCCGGAGACCACGUGAGGCGGCGGCGGGCGUGGCCAGAGCGUGGUCACGUGGCCAGCCAGUCCUCCCGCGCGGGCACGCGCCUGCUGAGCCCCGCCUCCCGCCAGCCAGGGCAGAAGCGGGGCGGCCACGAGGGGUCUGCGGCGCUGCGGUGGCGGCGGCGCUCCGGGAUCCGGUCCGCCCGAGCACGUGCACUAACUUUAACGGAUGCGCUGGAACUUUUUGCAGCGCUGGGCUUGCGGUCUAGAAAUAACACUCAAGUAAAUGUUCCCUGUCCCCCUCCGCUCAGCCGCCAACUUUAGGACAUUCACCAAGGCACUGCAAACACGAAAAGAACCUCAGUACUCGGUUGCAUGAAUUCUGUGCGGCCACACCUUUAAAAGCCAUACUGGUCUCCAACGAAAGGAUCCUCAUCGGGGAAUAAUAGAAAAUUGAGGCCAGAAAUGAAUGCGCGACAGCAACCAUUUUUGCUCUGGUGUUCCCAGCAUCACAGGGUGUGCGAUAGGAGAUGAGAAAUUUGCUGUCAACCCUUGCGGCUACCUGUCCACACAGAAGCAAUAAUCCUGAAAGGCAAGGGAGUGAGGUGCCACUGGAUUAAGCCCUUGCUUUCACACCAAGAAUGUGCUGACUGGAUCCGUACAAACUCCUUUCUAUGGACAGGAGAUCUAGGCUCCAAGAGCAGCCUGACUUAUCCAAUAGAGGGGCCCUCGGGUGGCAGUUGGCUUUGCUCUAAGAUCUCGGCUCUGUUAUACCUCAUUGCCUCCCAAAGGGAAAUCAAGUUCGCUUACAAAGCCUUCAGCAAUGAGAGGUGUCCAGUGGAAUGGAGGCUGGUAAGGUGGUAACCCCUAGAAGGAGGACCUGCUGGAGAGACCCUUAAUGGACAACGGAGAGGUGCAGGAGCACUGGAAGUGGAACGCAUGGAGGAGUCUUGCCUGGCAGGGUUGGCGUGGGCCUAGGACGAAGACCAGGAGUGGGAGAUGACAUCAGGGGAGGGAGAACCAAUACCAGGCGGGAGCGGAAAGGCCCCUUCAGGCAUAGCUAUCUGAAAGUGAAAUACAAGGGGACCCUUGUAAAAUACUAUGUCAUGAAACUAGGUGCUGAGGGCUGGUCCAGGAUACAGAAGGGGGGAUUGCAUGCCUUUUGAAAAUGUUUUUUGACCACUACAAUCGCUCCCAUGUGGAUAAACGUGUUCCAUUAAUUUUAAUUAUUCCAGCAACUGUCAUAUUACUAGAGAAACAGAGACGUGGAUGCAGAGAGAGAAAAGAAAAAAAAAAAAAAAAAAACAUGAUCAUGUGAAGGGAAAA